Molecule: small nucleolar RNA, 133 nt
Organism: Anabas testudineus (climbing perch)
Lineage: Eukaryota; Metazoa; Chordata; Actinopteri; Anabantiformes; Anabantidae
Gene: SNORA70
Rfam family: Small nucleolar RNA SNORA70
About the family: snoRNA U70 seems to be exclusive to mammals and is a member of the H/ACA class of snoRNA which contain H (ANANNA) and ACA box motifs. H/ACA box snoRNAs are involved in the conversion of uridines to pseudouridines (5-ribosyluracil) a constituent of structural RNAs (transfer, ribosomal, small nuclear, and small nucleolar).
Source: Ensembl
AUGCAGCUUAUUAAGCCGACCAGUUGUACUGUGGUGUGUUACUGGUGUGCAAAAGCUGCAGACAGUGACUCUUUGGUUGUGUAUGUCCUCAGCUGGGAGGUGCUGAGUGCUUUAAGGGACCACUGAGACAAAA